UACGAAGGGGGCGAGCGUUGUUCGGAUUUACUGGGCGUAAAGGGCGCGCAGGCGGUUCUGUUUGUCGAGUGUGAAAGCCCCGGGCUCAACCUGGGAACUGCGCUCGAAACGGCGGAACUAGAGUUCGGGAGAGGAGAGUGGAAUUCCCAGUGUAGAGGUGAAAUUCGUAGAUAUUGGGAAGAACACCGGUGGCGAAGGCGGGUCUCUGGGCCGAUACUGACGCUGAGGAGCGAAAGCGUGGGGAGCGAACAGG
This 253-nucleotide ribosomal RNA is filed under the name uncultured bacterium. Its description in RNAcentral is "partial 16S ribosomal RNA". It matches the Rfam family "Bacterial small subunit ribosomal RNA", at positions 524 to 776 of the family's 1533-position model. The record is from RNAcentral.